RNAcentral lists this ribosomal RNA (340 nucleotides) under Boophis picturatus. Its description in RNAcentral is "partial 16S ribosomal RNA". It matches the Rfam family "Bacterial large subunit ribosomal RNA", at positions 2085 to 2591 of the family's 2925-position model. The record is from RNAcentral. Lineage: Eukaryota; Metazoa; Chordata; Amphibia; Anura; Mantellidae.
AAGACCCCAUGGAGCUUUAAAUCCAACAGCACCUAUUACCCAUAUAUCUUUAUAUUUUUUUAGCAAAUGCUCGUUCGGUUUUAGGUUGGGGUGACCAUGGAGUAAAAAAUAACCUCCACGAAAAAAGGCAUAAAACCCUUAUCAAAGAGCCACAUCUCUAUGAAUUAGUAAACUAAUUUCUGAUGAUCCGAUAUUCGAUCAACGAACCAAGUUACCCUGGGGAUAACAGCGCAAUCCGCCUUAAGAGCCCCUAUCGACAGGCGGGUUUACGACCUCGAUGUUGGAUCAGGGUAUCCCAGUGGUGCAACAGCUACUAAAGGUUCGUUUGUUCAACGAUUAA